Brassica rapa (field mustard) is the source of this 6760-nucleotide RNA transcript. It is a transcript of the gene named UPF0725 protein At5g63820, with no coding region annotated. NCBI's taxonomy places the organism in Eukaryota, Viridiplantae, Streptophyta, Magnoliopsida, Brassicales, Brassicaceae. The record is from RefSeq and is a predicted model, not a curated record.
UGACCCCUCAACCAAAACAGAAGAGUAUGAAACCCUCCCUCGAACCGCGCCCAGAUCUGCCUCCACUACCGAAGGAGAGGGGGCGCCUAGAUCCCUUGUCUGAAUAUCAGUCCCGCCAAGCGAUUCCGAUUCAGCCCGAGCCUUUUCUGUUGCCACCGUGUCGCCUUCAGUCGAGGGAGUGUCGCCGUCGCCUUCGUUAUCGCCUCUCAUAUCUUUCCUUUUUGAAAUCAUAAGUAUCAUAUUAUUGGGUUCUUAGUUGUAAAUUGUAGUCAUAGCUGGAUCUGAGAUUUUAUGGACUAUAAACAACAUCUUUUAAGAAUUUUAAUAUAAUUUUUUUUAGAAUUUUGAUGGUCCAUUUCUAUGUAUAUAACUUUGAAAAUUUUAUUAUCAAUGUUUUAUAGGGUUAUGCUCAAAUCCGAAUCUAGUUGUAGUUUUUAAAUAGAUAUUCUUGAGAAAUAAAUUAAGGCUGGUAAAAAAUAAAAAAUAAAUUAAGGCUGAGCACAAGUAGAAUAUUUGCUAUUUUAGCAAUAUUUGAUACUUAAUUUUCUUUUUACGAGUAAUGAAAAUUUUGACUUAUACUUGACUUGUUAAAAAUGAAUACUUGUUAUUUCGAGUACUUACUGAAAAAUGAGUUACUUAUCCCGUUUUAUUACUUGCUAUAUAUGAAUACUUGUGAGUUACAUAUGAGUUACUUGCAUUUAAUUUCUAGUAUUUAAAAAUUAUUUGCUAAAUAAUGCUCUACUAAAAAUGAACAUAAGAGUUUAUUUUGUUUAUAUAGUAAGAAAUAACAUAAGAGUUAUAAACGAAAUAUUUGUGCAUAUUAUAAAGGAGAAGAACGGAAAAAACGGAAUCGUUCUAUUGUAGCAUUAUUUUCUUCUCACAAUAACAAAAAAAUGUAUUCUUUGAGCAACUAACAGAUAAUAUCAAGUAGAACAGUUAACUUUUUCAUACUUGUUACUUGUUUUGUACUUUCAAAUAUCUAAAUUUUAUUUUAUUUGAUAUCCAACUUGACAACGACGAGUGCGUGAAAAAUCGAGAUUAAUAUAUGACGAGUAUAAGAUGAAUAACGAGUAUUUGUGUCCACCACUCCUUGAAAUUAUAUAUGUAUAUACAUAUAUCUGUUCUCUUCACCUGACCUCACUGCUUAAUGUUUAGAUCUGACAGUUUUCUAUUAGGUGUUGCUGAAGUUAAUUGUUUUCAAAUUGGUUAACUAGAUUAAGUGAAAUUGUCAGGGGUUCAAGCAUCUCUCUUUUUUUUAUACUUUUGGUUCAUUUAUAGUACAUUAUAUGGUUAAACUUGUCUAUGAAAAAGAGAAGUAUAAUUAAGAUUGAUAACUCUGAUUCAGGUCGAUCAGUUAUUGACAUUAUUGUUGUCGUUGUGGAUGUACUGUAGGACGCAAUUUUAUAUCAAACUUUACAACAAUUGGACAUACAUAAACAUAAGUAUGUAAUGAAAUAUUGAAAAUACGAAUAAGGCCAGACAUACAUAAACAUAUUGCCCGAAAAAAUAAUUAAAAAGAAAAAAAAAUAUCAGAGCCAGGUUUCGAUCCUGGGACCUGUGGGUUAUGGGCCCACCACGCUUCCGCUGCGCCACUCUGAUUUGUUGUACUUCGAUGAAAUGUUAACCUUACUAAACGAGAAUACAUUCUUCCACAAAAGAUGACAACAUUGCACUUAUUUUUCACUCAUUUUUGAAUAAAUAAAUCUGUUCAAUUUGGUUGAAUAAGACGGGAAAAUGUAGUAUUUUAAAUAGAUUUCUCUACUUUUUCUUUUCAUAAUUUUCUGUCUGUUCUUUUAACUUAUGUAUUUUUGAAUCAUAUUAUAUAUUUUCACCAUUUUUUUAUAAUUUUGUUUUAUUUUAUUUUUAUAACUUUUUCUUUUCAAUCUAUAUUUUGAUAUGUAUUACUAUUUGAUUGUGGUUUUUCAAGUUGUUUCUUAUUAUUUGUAGAGUUUGAGUUCGGUGACUAAAAAUAGGAAAAUAAAACUCUGAAUUACACAUUUUUGUUACUAUAAGUUUGGUGAAAAGUGUAAAAUAUAGUAAACAGAUUUUUCUGGUUUUUGUUCUUCAUAAUUUUCUUUACCUAUUAUAAAUUGAUCUUUAUGUAUUUUUAGAUUAUAUUUUCACUAGAUUUUAUUGUUUGGUUUAGACUUUUAAUUACUAUUUUGAUUAUGCAUUAAAUCUUGGUUGUGGUUUUGGAUCAUUUGCAUGUUAGUUUCUCUAAACUUUAGUUUAAUGAUUCAAAAAGAAAAACAAUAUGUGAGACUCACUUUCGUUAAGGGCUGUUUUAGGAACAUGAAAAAUCAAUAUCAUAGAUGAAUUUGUCUAUUUUUGUUUUUAUUAAUUUUUUAUAGCUAUUAUUUUAGAUAUUUUGAAUGAUAUUAUGUAGUUUUACUUUCAAGCUUGAUGACAAAUUUUGGUGGGAAUUAAAAAUGAGAUUUUGAUUAAAGGAGAUGGAUUAUUUAAAAAAAAAAGUUAAUAUUUGAUAUAAAUAAGAAGUAGAUAAAAUUUAGGGAUAAAUUAUCAAUUUAAAAAUUAAUGAUGAUGUGUCAAAUAUCUAAAGAUGUGGAAACUUAAGGAAAGAGCAAAAUCUAAUUUAUAUAUAUUUUUAUAUAUAUAAAGAUAUAAAGCAUAGUAUGGAUAGAACAAAAAAACAAACAGUUCAAAAUUAUCAUUUUAAUAAAAUAUCAAGAUAUAUAUAUAUAUGUAUUCAAUCUUAAAGUGCAUAUUUUUUUAAUAAUAUUAGAUCCGGUCUAAGAAUCUAUCUACUUUUUUUUUGACAACACUAUCUAGUGUAUUUAAGCAAAUUAAAAGGAAUCUAUCUAGUAUAUGGACUAAUGAAAGAUAUGAUUAUCAAGAUAAAAAGGUGCUUUUUAAAAAGGAAAAAGAAGAAGAAGAAGAUAAGAACGUGUUUGAUCUUUACUCAAACGGGUUUGUUCUUACUCAAACGUGUUUGACCUUACUCAAUAACAAAUUUAAGAAUAUAUAUACUGACUGAACCCUUCAAAUAUUACAAAAUGCAAACCCACAUUUCUCAAUAUACAAACAUUCAUAAAGACAAAAUCGAUAUUAAAAAAAGUAUUGAUCAAAUGGGAACAUUCACAACCUUGAGUGGCAAAUUAAAAGACAAAGCCUCGCACAUGAAACUCAACGUCGUUCAUAUGUGUAGUUCCGUGAACACCAAAACCAUUGACGAAGCUAUCUUGAAAGCCACGAGUCAUACCUCGAACAAAUCACCUUCCGAAAAAUACGUCAAAUUUCUCCAAUCAACCAUGGCAACGGGUUACUCUCCUCAGACCAUCAGUGGGAUUAUGCAGAGGCUGUGUGUGACGACGAACGUGUGCGUGGCUUCUAAAUGCCUCAUUCUUAUCCAUAACAUGAUUAAAUCUGAAAAGGGUUAUGAAGGAGAAGGUGGUCAUCGUGGCACUAAUAGUCAUCGUAAUUUGAUUUAUAACCAAGGAGAGAGUAAUCUUAAGUUGGAUGAUCUUAAUGUGGAUUCAUCUCGUUUUACUAUAGAGUUGGUUCCAUGGGUUCGAUGGUACAAAAAUUAUCUUAAUAUUUAUUUAUGCAUUGCGGAGGUUUUAGGCGUUACUCCAAACAUAAAAGAAAAAUUUGAAGAAAAGCGUUUGGAGACUCAACGAGUCUCGUCUUACACAACCGAUUGCAUUUUCAAACAAGUCGAUUUUUUGGUGAAUCUAUUCGAACAGAUAAAUGCCAGGCCAGAAACCCCGCUGGAGAAACCGAACAUAAUUAUUAUUAGGAUGAUAGGACUAAUGGAACAAGAUUAUGUAUCGGUGAUGAGAUUGAUCAAGAUAAGGUUUGAAGAAUUGGACAAGAGAACAGCUGAUCCGGCCGAGCUGAUUCCUGUUUUGGUGAGGCUUGAAAAGUGUAGGGAGUCUUUGAGCGAGUUUUGUUGGCGAUGCGAACCUUUGGAUAAGGAGUUUUGGGGUUUGGUAUUGAAAUUAAAAGAUAACUAACGUUAGAAGACUAGAAACGAUGGAUAAAUAACCUGGCCAACUUCGAUUAAUAAGCCCCUUUAUUGUUGUUGUUAUAGCUUAUCCCCAUAAAGCUGGUCGUUAUUUAUUAUUAUACAAGUCUUAUGUAUAUGAGAUGUAUACAUGCUAUGAAUGAGUAUAUAAUAGAAUCGUUAUACCAGUAACGCCUAUUUUCAAGGUUCUUUCUUUUCUUCCUCUCUAAACUCUCUCUUUCUAACCUACUUUGUAAGUGUUCGUUGCCGAAUCUUCGAACCAGAGAAUUAUCAUGCAACUUUUUUUUGGUCUAAAUUAUCAUGCAACUUGAAAUGGAUUCAGGUUGGAAACGGCGUGGUUUGCCUUAUGAGAGGCCAUCAAGAGCCGCACUGCUAUUAUGGAUAUUUUUUUUCCAGCGGACACAGUUUCAUAGCUCAAGAACCAUCAUCCUCGUAGAAGAAGCCACGAAGAUCGGAAGCUGUUAAAUAAAAUCCACUGGUUCAAGAUCCACUGGUUCAAAAAAAAAAAAAAACCACUGGUUCAAGAUUUCUUAUACAACAUUUCAUUGCCAACGUACACUGAUUUGACCGGUUUGUUAAACAUACACACAACAUUUCAAUACCAACAACGAUAAUUCAUAUAUAAAAAGCUUAUGAUGGUAUUCAAAUGUUGUAUAAAAAAUCUAGAACCGGUGGUAUAACCAAUACAUCAUAUGCAUUUGUUAUUAACUGGGUCACGUAAUAAAUUGAUUUUAUAAAAUCUAUGGAAUUUUUUUUAUGUGAGGGACUGUAAAAUUAGGAGCAUGAAGUGAAAGUUUCAUUAAGCUUGGCCCAAGGCCAAUCCUGCAUGAACCACGAGUCAUUUCAUGCAAGAAUCAAUGCUCACUUGCUAAUAAGAAGAGGAAAACAAAGAAACGGAAGCAAUCAGCUACAACCAAAUUUUUUUUUAAAAAAAUUAACAUUUAUUAUUUCUUUCAUUAAUUCUGAAAAAUUAAAAUUAAUAAAAAAAUUAUAUUAUAGCCUUUCUUUUUAAAAUAUUCUAAAAUUUAAUAUUUUAUAUAUUAAAAUACUUCAAUAAUAUUUAAUUUUAAAUAAUUAAUUUAAUUUUUGACAUUGAUAAAAAAGUAUGGAUUCAUUAUGGGAAACAACUGCUUUAAAGAUGGUGUCAGGAUAAGUGUUUUGUUGAAGGUGGUGGAGGCAAGCUUGUUGAGAAAUGUGGCUUCGGUCUCUCUCUCUCCCUCUUGCAUUUUUGAUGGUCAUCUAUAGUCUUUACUCGGUUAAGGCUCUUCUGUUUUCGGUCUAGUUUCUUUUAAAUUUUUUGUUCAGCAAUGGUUUUUGUGGACGGGGUGGUCUUCUUUGGUGCUUUGCUUCGAGAAGCUUGUCGAUAAACAGAUUUUAUUCUCCUCAAUCUGUUUUGGUUUCAGAUGAGACCCGUAUGUUUGGGUCUGGAUAGUGGUUUAUUUCCGACUUAUCUAAAUUGGAAUUUUUUGUUAACUAUAAUAUUUUUUAAAAAUAACUCAAAAUAUUAUAAUGUUAAGGAUUUUUAAAUAAGAAAAAAUAGUAAUCUUUAUCUAUUUUUUAUAACCAGAUUUGUUUCCAUUUUUUAAAAAUAUUAAUUAAAUUGUUGAUUACAUCAUCAUAUAAUAUCUAUUCUAUUAGAUAUGAUCAACUAUCUCCGGAAUAUGCAAACAUUAUAAACAGCUUCUCAAACAGUGAUUCCAUGAUGUAGCUUUCUCCAUAAUAUUUGGACCGACGGACUAUAUCACAAUCAAACCCUAAAUGAUGUAAAAGCCUUUAAAAUUUAAACCUUAACCAUUACACCACCAUGCUUCCACAAUUUGUUUUCAUUAUGAAAGGGAGAAAAUCAUAACCACUUAUGAAAUAUUUUUGAAUAUUUUAAAUAUGUAAAUGAAUAUUUAUUAUAAAACUUAUUUUCUAAAUAAUUCUUUUGUUUAGUUUUUCCAAAUUAAACAUAGACCCAAACAUUAUAUAUACAUCUAUAAAACGAACCAUUAUUGUAUUCGCUCUCUAGGUUAUUAAUAUUCGACUUGUCCUGCUCUCUGAUGACAGGUUUGGGGGAUAUGGAGGAGGAGAUUGGGAACGGUGCAUCGCUGUUUAAUGAUCAUGGAAGAGAUGAUUCGGACUUCCAAGCUGAUGGUCUGGAUCCGCCUAUAUUAUAUAGGUCAGAAUGGGGAGAUGAUCCUAACUAUGAUAUCCGUCUCUGUGGUAGGAUUGGACUCCAGUGCUACAAUCUUCAGAAGGUUAAUUCAUCGCUAUUCACUGUCUCUCUAUGAUGACAACCUUCUUUUCUGAGUUUAUUUUUUUGGUUUUGACAGGGAACAAACUUUAAAUUUAAAAGCUGGGAGAUUUGUAGGGAUCAGAUGACUUCAUCCGACGACUCCUUCAUAACUUUGGAGGCAACUGAUCCGGCCACUGGCUCGGUCUUGUCUUUUCAGACGCUGUUAAGCGAUUUUGGACCUCGCCGUUCAUUGGGUGUCAGACUUUUGUGGAUCAACUUAGCCUCCAGAAUUGAACCUAUACGUAAGAAUUUAUUAAGGACUAUAAUUAACUGUUUAUGGAUAGCUCUCUUUUAAAAGGGUAUUUACUAACUGUUUUUAGAGACAUCAGGUAACGAGCGUCUGGAUGAUAAUUGGGACAAGAACAAGCUACAUGAUUUCUACAAAGGUCCAAUGCCCAAAUGGUUUUCUGAUGAGGCCUUGGAAAGUAACAGUAGAAAAUAUUACGUGGUAAUAAUAACAUCAGAUCAUUCAUGGAGUUUUAACUUUUAUAUUGUGA